Gasterosteus aculeatus aculeatus (three-spined stickleback) is the source of this 1888-nucleotide long non-coding RNA. RefSeq lists it as uncharacterized. The record is from RefSeq and is a predicted model, not a curated record. Lineage: Eukaryota; Metazoa; Chordata; Actinopteri; Perciformes; Gasterosteidae.
CCCUCAGGUACAGUGUUGUAUUUCAAGCCCGGUUGUGAAAGAAUAGAGGGGCUCGGGGUCAAUCAAUCACGGCAUUAGCCCGCGGCUACAAAGCCUCCUCUCUGUGUGGCCCGCCUCCCACAGUCCACACGCACAGCUCUGGGGGACGGAUCGGGAGCCGGGGAUCUGCCACUGGAGGGAGCUCUAGGUCGCCAAUCGAGGCCUCUGAACUCCCCUUUUCUGCUCUGGCAUCAGGACUUGCCUACCUGCCUACAUUAGGAGGAGGAGGAGGAGUCACUGAUGUCACUGGAGCCAGGCAGAGAGGAAGCCAAAGGGUCAUGGCGAGUUGAGUCCCAUGUCAGAAUCGUCCCCACGUUGACCUGCGCCUGACUGGCCUCCCAGCAAAAAGCCCCUGUGAAGAAGGCGGAGAGCUGAAUCCGAAGGUGAAAAGCAUCCUCCCCCUCCUCCCUCCCAUGCUGAACAUCUGUCUCUGCGGUGUUGGCUGCAGCACCGACUCUGACACCUCCAGAUGGAGAGCCCGCUGGGAGCGCUGAGGUAUUACCUACCGAGGUGGCAGGGAUCACACCUCCGGAAUGAAGUCCCACACUUGUUUUCUGCACCGUACCCUGUUUCUUGUUGUUGGACCUGUCACUGUUCGCCUUACCGACUGUCACCUCUCCAGUCCUUGGCCUUGUGACUCUUUUGGAAGCUUUUGGCUUCAAAAGAAAGUGCUCGACAACAAACCUCUCUGGCCUUUUUUUAAUUUACCGUAUUGGGUAAUGUGGUAUUUCAAGUGUAACUUCUGUUAGUGGAUCGCUUUUCAUUUUUAUUAUAGUCGGAGGAAAGCUGCACGUGGAUACAUUUCAAAUGAUGCUGAUUUCCAUUUCCUAUAAAACAUCAACUUAUGUAACAAUUUUUAGUUUGCAUAAACCGGAGCAUUAACCAAAUGGCAUUUAAUCUUCUCAGUCUAAAUGUUGAAGGGUAACCUCAGCUCCAGGUCUGAUUAAAAGGGAUUUUUCUUUUUUAUUAAUCUCAGGAGGUCCCAAGCGGUCAACUCCAAGUCACCGUCAGAUCAGAGAUUUAAAACCGCAAUUGAGGCGUUUUCAACUUGUGAAAUGCUCAAUGAAACAUCCAUAUUAAAAAAGAUUCUUUGGUUAGAAAUGCCAAUUUCUUCGUCCCUAGUGUGUUUCAUCACGUGCGGUCCCAUCGUUUAGCUCUCAGUUUAAAUGUGAAAGAAAUACCUGCCGGAGUCUCAAGCGUGAGAGGCCCAAGAGUCGAGUUCCUGAGCCACUCUGGUGUCUUGACAGAUUGACUCUUCAUUCAUUUGAGCCUGAACUCUGCGUGAACCGUUGCUUUAGGGAAAAGGGGAGCAACAGGCCAGUGCUGCUGGGGCAGGAACUGCGUGUGCAAACCCAACACCCAGUGCAAAUAUUGAAACUGCUGCCCCUUCACCAUCAGAUGAAACGGGGGGGGUCCGGCAAACGUUGAUCCUCAGCCACAGAGAGCGCUGAAAUGGGAAAUUGUCAACUCAGUUCCUUAGAUUUUAACAGGAAAAAUGUGGUGGUUUGAUUUAAAAUGUUUCUCUCGGAUUGUAAAACGCAGGAUGUCAUUGCAAGCUGUGUCAGAUGUGUCACAGCAGAAUUUGGGUAACAAAUCAAGGGGGAGACCUGGCUCCCUGGAGUUUGUUGUCAUGUUUAGAGCCCCUGGAGGUAUUUGAAGGUGAAAAGGUCACUGGGAACCACCCUGUGUGUUGUGAAAGACACCUCUUGUCACAUUAUGCAAGGGGAUAUUGACGAGACCAUUAAUGGAAGAAGUUUGCAACUCAAAAACAUUCAUAUUUAGAACAAUUUAUUAUUUACAUUCAUUUAAAAAACAGAUUCUGUAUCUUAAAAUUAAAAGUGUGAUUGGA